AGGAGCCUGCCCUCUUGAGCUCUUGUGGUGACCUGGGAAUCAAUGUGUGAGGUGGUGCUAUGUAGCAGGAACCCCUCUUGCUUUGCAAAUAGUUUUUUGUUUGUUUUCCUUUUUGCCCAAUAGAGCCCUGCUCUACUGACCCUUCAAUGUGCCCGUGUGCCUAAAUAUUCCUGGUCGUGUGAAAAGAACCCAGGUAUUAGCUGAACUAAGGAGCACAAUUCUGCAACAUUUUGGCACCCAAACACGGGGCUUGAGAAAUGAAUGCAAUUGGAGAAACUGGUUGUUUUACCAGGCGUUGAUUGGAAAUGUGUGCUUCCCUUUAAGCAGUCAAGCUCAACUUGCAGAACUGAUGGGAACCCCUUGGGAAAACUGGCCUCAAAUGUUUGUCUACACAGUCCACAUACAGGGUUCUUAACCUGCGAUGAGGGAAACUUCCCAGGGCUUGUCUGGGUAUGCCCACAGUGGACUGGAGCCCAAAAUGCACACUGGAGGAAGUGGAUGGAGCCACGUGGAUGUCAUGCCUUAUGCAGGGGAGGAGCCUGCUCUCUUCAGCUCCUGUGGUAAUGUGGGAAUCGAUCUGUGAGAUUGAAACUCCCACAACUUUGGCAGACCAACUCCUCAGAAAACAUUAUUCUUUGACAUCAAUAUGUUUUGCACAAAAUUGAAUGGCAAGUGAAAGGCAUCAAAUGCAUAUUUAACUAUCCGGCUAUUUUGGAGAUUGAAAAAAGAAGACCUGAUUUAUCAUGUGCAAUAUCUCACACAUCUGUCAUUUCUAUUCUACCGCAAUUCGGUGAGUUCAGCCUCUUUUUACUUCAUGUUUGAAUAAUCGCAAUAGAUUUUAUACUGUUCUCACUGCUAAACUUGCUCCCCCUAUUACCCUACAGACACUCAUAUUCAUCUUGCAUAAUACCACCAGAUUAUUCUUUGUCCAUCUAUUUUCCUAGAUAUUUGUCCUCCACUUUCCUGUCUUUUUUUCUGCACUUCAUUCUACCCAUCUUAGUGAAUAGACAUCUUUUCAACUCUCUCAGGCUAUAUAUACAUCAAUUUUUCAAAAUCCAAGUAAAACUUCACGUCCUUGAGAGAAUUUUAGAGAGCGUGUAAUACCUACAUUUUUUUUUACCAUUUAUUAGGAAUAUAUCUCAGCCCCAGUUAUGUGAUUAUUACAUAUUAUAGUAUAUUAAUGUUUGCAAACUCCUUGUAAAAUCAUACACACCCCAUACUGCUAUAUUCAUUUCAAUAGCAAAACAGUUUCUUUUCAAUUUUGUAAUAAAUAUAUUAAGAUCCUGUCCUCCUCCAGGCCAAUUUUCUUCCCCUAUAUUUAAAGUGCUCUGAUGGAGGUAACUUAUUAAUAAUUUGAGCCUAAAACAGCUUUUCAAAUAUGCAUUUCAUUUUUGCACACCAAGCUGGUGUGUGCCUGCAGGCGCUAUUUCUAUUAAGUGAACAGCUGGAUAUUGUGUAGUGGAUUGACCAGGUGUUUGAGUGAACUCAUUAGUCACCAUAUAGAAGCAACUUAAAAGAAUGAGUCACAGUGAUAGUCAUCUCACUUUGGGAAAAGGAAAAGAAAUAAAUAAAAAUGUUUCAUAUCUAUCAGACAGCCACAAAGCACAGUCCCUAUCAACAGGAGCAAAUUCAAAUAAAAAUGGCCCCACCAUACAUAUUUUAUUUGAUUUACAUCUAGCACUGAAGAUAUACUUUAUGAAUUUUUCCUUUAUUCUGACAGUCAUAAAAUAAACGGAGGUGAAUCAUAUAACUUUUGAAUAUCUACAUAGCCAGAGAUAAACUCUGCAUAUUAAAUAUCUUCCAAUAUUACAUCUACCAAAAAACAUAGCAGAGGUCAUAUUUAUGUUGCAACUGAGAAAACACUCAAAUUAUUUAAAGAGAAAAUUUAAAUACUUUACUAAAAUUCACAUUAAAUUCUGAAUUUUACAUGGGUUUAUGUGGCUCUACCAUUCAUACUGUUGAACUUCUGAGUUAUUAAUAUUUACAAAUAACCCAUGUUCUUUCAAAUGAUUCCAAUGCUUACAGAAACACAUAUAAAAGUACAUACAAUGAAAUAAAACUGUGGCAAUGUAGAAAAAUGAAAACUAUAAUAUGACAACGCAAUGAAGCCAGAGUUAAUGUGAGCACAUGAAAUGAAAUCCUAACAUUUUCUCUUCAGCUUUGUCUCUGUGUCUUACUAUGCUAAUGUAGGUAAUAAGCAGUAUUGAUAGCUGGAAGAAGUAAAUUAGCACAUGAAAAGAACCUUGAUUAUUAUUUGUGCAAUUCCUGGAGUCCACUGAUACUUACCAACUCUUAAAGCUUAGAUCUAGGGUAUCCAAACACUGCUUCCUUUCCAAGAAGGAAACAUACAAAAAAACUAAGGCAGCAUGCUCUAAUUCUUUUUUUCUUUUUUUUCUUUUUUAGAUGGAGUCUUGUUCUGUGGUCCAGGCUAGAGGGCAGUGGCAUGAUCUCGGCUCACUACAAGCUCUGCCUCCCGGGUUCACGCCAUUCUCCUGCCUCAGCCUCCUGAGUAGCUGGGACUACAGGCGCCCGCCACCACGCCUGGCUAAUUUUUUGUAUAUUUACUAGAGAUGGCUAGUGUUAGCCAAGAUGGUCUCGAUCUCCUGACCUCGUGAUCUGCCCACCUCAGCCUGCCAAAGUGCUGGGAUUACUGGCGUGAGCCACCGUGCCUGGCCAGCAUCCUCUAAUUAUUAUUCAUAGUUUGUGAAUUUAGGCCUACGUGAAUAAUAAUAUAAUAUUUACUAUGAUGUUACUAUCUACCAACCUUAUUUUUCUUUUCUAUAAAAUAGGAGCCAAAAUAAUAUUUAUGUCAUACCUUAUGAAGUUAAAAUAAAAUAUAACGAAUGAGGGGCUUAACAAUGAGUGUCAUUUUGUAAUUACUUUGUACCAUUAUUAAUUGCUGAGACAGAAUAUGGUAUCACUAGUCAUCUGUAUCUAUUGCACAACUUUAUUUUGAUUCAUUCCUUACUAUUUUGCAUAGAUAGGCCUAAAUUUUUGAUCCACUGCUCAACUCCUGUCUUUAAACCAUUGGUUCUCAAAUAGAGUUGAUUUUGACACCUAGGGAACAUUUGACAACAUAUGGAGAUAUUGUUGAUUUUACAGGGCAACCCUUCAUAAGCACAGAAUUAUCUGGCCCCAAAUGUCGACAGUGUCAAGUUCGAGAAACUCUGCACUAGGCUUUUCUGUCUGGUUACUCACCCCUCUUCUUUGCACUGCCCCCAGUUUUAUGGAUAUUGAAUUCCUGAUUUCUCACUAUAUUAAUUGCACUUAUAGAUAUUCUAAAUUGAUUUGUAUAUAUCUUCCUAGUUUGACCCAUUGCUUUUAACUGAAUUUUACUGGGCUUUUAUAAAGGCCAUUUCCAUGGAGUUUAGUCAUUAUCUUCACCAAAUUUUUAUUUGCUUCAGUCUGGGGAGGAACUCUAUAUUAAAAAAUAAAAACAAACCCAAAAACUAAUUUAUGAAAGACAUUUUAUAAUGUAAUUACUUAAACAUUUUUUUUCUUCUUUCUCAUACGAUCUUUUAAAUUCAGUGAGUGACAUGUGGUUUUCAGGCUGGGUCAGGAAGUUUGCUUGGACGGGGAAAUUCUGUCUGCUGAGACACUAGGGGAGCAAAUGCCUAUGUGGGCACAGGCUGGUCACUGACCUCCUAGGGUUCCCUGACAAUAAAUUAGUCCUAGUUGAGGUCGCCAUCAUCAGAACUUAAUUGGUCCCUGGUACUGGUGAAUCUCUGCACCACAGAGACUAAUCAGUUACAGAACUCAGCUUCUGGGCAUAGGCAACCUUUUCUGUUUUUUCAAUUUUUUGUCAGCAAAGUUGAGAAAAUGAACACACUCAAACAGCCCAUUUCUUAGCUUAUCAAUAUCCGUACCCACUUCUUUCCCUCAUCAACAUGUAUUUUCCAUAUUUUGUUGGUAUUAACCUCUGACACUCAUCCACACAAGAAAGUCUACAAAGCCUAAACUAACUUUUAAACAUUAUUUAAGGUAAUAGCUUUGUCUUCCACCAGAAACCUGGCGACAUUUUUAAAAGGAUUUGAAGAGAUAUAUACCCGAGGGACAGAGAGAAAAAUUAGUGCUGACCAGUCUGGGCCUACUUGACUAACACAAAAUAGAUUAAAUUAAUAAAAACAAGAUGUUCUGCAUUUAUAAACAUGUUAACUCUUUUUAAUGUGUAUGACUCAUUAAUGAGUUCAUAAUUAGAUUUUGAAGGAUUUCAUUCUGGACCUUGCAGAUUGUAUGUAUCUUUCUGGUAAAUUAGGAAGUAUAAUUUUUCAAUAAAAAAGCUCACUGGAAACCCCUGUAACAAGUAAUAAAUAUUUAAAAUUUGCAGAAAUGUUUACUUAUUCAAUAAAUACUGACUCCACAUUAAGAAAUGCUAGAGAUAAAGCAUUUCUAAAGGCAAAUUCUACUGUUUCCUGGUUUUACAUUCUAGAUUUUAAGACAAAGAUGGCUGCCUUGAAAUUUUAGUUAUGUGAAAGAAAUUUCGUAAUGAUAUAACUUUUUCUUACUCUGACUCUGUGAGACUUUUGUUUAUAUUUUAUGAAACUAUUUCUAUAGCACAUGUUAUAUAAAUAUAUUUGAGAAAUCAUUUUUAGCUUUCAGAAAUUAGUUUGCUUAAUACAUUUUAAUUUUAAUAAAGCUCCAUUCCUCUAGUCCUUUCAUAUCUGGAAUAUAUUUCCUAUACAAUAUCUUCUAUAUUAUUUAAUACUGCUGUUUUUUAAAAGAGAAAUUGAAACCUUUUACUCAUAUAUACCAGACUUCCAAAACUGUCUUGGUUUGAAAAUCAGUUCUCCAAAAUACUUUCUCUAACUUAACUUUAUAUCUUAGGUGCAAAUACAAUCCUGAUAAAUACUAUAGUCAGGCAUUUUAAAAACUUUAUGUUUCCCAUAUACUCAGCAGAGUAUCAUCUUCUUGCCCUUUCCCUCACUAUGGUAUCCUUCAAGAACUUAUUAGCUCAAAUUCCAAAUCCUCAAUGAAACAAUCAUCUAUCAAUUUCAUAAUUCACUGUUUUAUUCAAUAAAUAUUUAGUGAAUGAUUUCUGUGUGUCAGGAGUGUAUUGGGAGCUUGGGGACAAAGUGGUGGGCUAGAUAGGCAU
Molecule: long non-coding RNA, 5092 nt
Filed under: Homo sapiens (human)
Lineage: Eukaryota; Metazoa; Chordata; Mammalia; Primates; Hominidae
Description: HSALNT0085736
Source: RNAcentral